AUUGAACGCUGGCGGCAUGCCUUACACAUGCAAGUCGAACGGUAACGGGCCUUCGGGUGCCGACGAGUGGCGAACGGGUGAGUAAUGUAUCGGAACGUACCUUUCAGUGGGGGAUAACGUAGCGAAAGUUACGCUAAUACCGCAUAUUCUGUGAGCAGGAAAGCAGGGGAUCGCAAGACCUUGCGCUGAUUGAGCGGCCGAUAUCAGAUUAGCUAGUUGGUGAGGUAAAGGCUCACCAAGGCGACGAUCUGUAGCGGGUCUGAGAGGAUGAUCCGCCACACUGGAACUGAGACACGGUCUAGACUCCUACGGGAGGCAGCAGUGGGGAAUUUUGGACAAUGGGGGCAACCCUGAUCCAGCCAUGCCGCGUGAGUGAAGAAGGCC
RNAcentral lists this ribosomal RNA (384 nucleotides) under uncultured bacterium. Its description in RNAcentral is "bacterial SSU rRNA". It matches the Rfam family "Bacterial small subunit ribosomal RNA", at positions 30 to 416 of the family's 1533-position model. The record is from RNAcentral.